GUCCAGACUCCUACGGGAGGCAGCAGUGGGGAAUAUUGCACAAUGGGGGAAACCCUGAUGCAGCGACGCCGCGUGAGUGAAGAAGUAUUUCGGUAUGUAAAGCUCUAUCAGCAGGAAAGAGAAUGACGGUACCUGACUAAGAAGCCCCGGCUAACUACGUGCCAGCAGCCGCGGUAAUACGUAGGGGGCAAGCGUUAUCCGGAUUUACUGGGUGUAAAGGGAGCGUAGACGGUGAAGCAAGUCUGAAGUGAAAGGCGGGGGCUCAACCCCCGGACUGCUUUGGAAACUGUUUGACUGGAGUGCAGGAGAGGUAAGUGGAAUUCCUAGUGUAGCGGUGAAAUGCGUAGAUAUUAGGAGGAACACCAGUGGCGAAGGCGGUCUGCUGGACAGCAACUGACGGUGAGGCGCGAAAGCGUGGGGAGCAAACAGGAUUAGAUACCCUGGUACC
RNAcentral lists this ribosomal RNA (448 nucleotides) under uncultured bacterium. Its description in RNAcentral is "partial 16S ribosomal RNA". It matches the Rfam family "Bacterial small subunit ribosomal RNA", at positions 329 to 794 of the family's 1533-position model. The record is from RNAcentral.